Molecule: ribosomal RNA, 255 nt
Filed under: uncultured Actinomycetes bacterium
Lineage: Bacteria; Bacillati; Actinomycetota; Actinomycetes
Description: uncultured actinobacterium partial 16S ribosomal RNA
Rfam family: Bacterial small subunit ribosomal RNA
Source: RNAcentral
GACGAACGCUGGCGGCGCGCCUAACACAUGCAAGUCGAGCGCGAACCAGGGCUUCGGCCCUGGGGAAAGCGGCGAACGGGUGAGUAACACGUGGGCAACCUGCCCUCAGCACCGGGAUAGCCCGGGGAAACCCGGAUUAAUACCGGAUGGCCUCACGAGCCCUCGGGCCUGUGAGAAAAGGUGGCUUCGGCUUCCGGCUGAGGAUGGGCCCGCGGCCGAUUAGCUUGUUGGUGGGGUAACGGCUCACCAAGGCGA